RNAcentral lists this ribosomal RNA (483 nucleotides) under uncultured bacterium. Its description in RNAcentral is "partial 16S ribosomal RNA". It matches the Rfam family "Bacterial small subunit ribosomal RNA", at positions 28 to 523 of the family's 1533-position model. The record is from RNAcentral.
GACGAACGCUGGCGGCGUGCUUAACACAUGCAAGUCGAACGAUGAAGCUGGAGCUUGCUCCAGUGGAUUAGUGGCGAACGGGUGAGUAACACGUGAGCAAUCUGCCCUUGACUCUGGGAUAACUGCGGGAAACUGUAGCUAAUACCGGAUACGACACCUUGGGGCAUCCCGGGGUGUGGAAAGAAUUUCGGUCAAGGAUGAGCUCGCGGCCUAUCAGCUUGUUGGUGAGGUAAAGGCUCACCAAGGCGACGACGGGUAGCCGGCCUGAGAGGGUGACGGGCCACACGGGAACUGAGACACGGUACAGACUCCUACGGGAGGCAGCAGUGGGGAAUAUUGCACAAUGGGCGAAAGCCUGAUGCAGCAACGCCGCGUGAGGGAUGACGGCCUUCGGGUUGUAAACCUCUUUUAGCAGGGAAGAAGCGAAAGUGACGGUACCUGCAGAAAAAGCACCGGCUAACUACGUGCCAGCAGCCGCCGCCG